UAUACCGUGAAACUGCGAAUGGCUCAUUAAAUCAGUUAUCGUUUAUUUGAUAGUACCUUACUACUUGGACAACCGUGGUAAUUCUAGAGCUAAUACAUGCUGACAACCUCGACUUACGAAGGGGUGUAUUUAUUAGAUAAAAAACCAACGCCCUUCGGGGCUUCUUGGUGAUUCAUAAUAACUUUACGGAUCGCAUGGCCUUGCGCCGGCGACGGGUUCAUUCAAAUUUCUGCCCUAUCAACUUUCGAUGGUAAGGUAUUGGCUUACCAUGGUUUCAACGGGUAACGGGGAAUUAGGGUUCGAUUCCGGAGAGGGAGCCCGAGAAACGGCUACCACAUCCAAGGAAGGCAGCAGGCGCGCAAAUUACCCAAUCCCGAUACGGGGAGGUAGUGACAAUAAAUACUGAUACAGGGCUCUUUUGGGUCUUGUAAUUGGAAUGAGUACAAUUUAAACCUCUUAACGAGGAACAAUUGGAGGGCAAGUCUGGUGCCAGCAGCCGCGGUAAUUCCAGCUCCAAUAGCGUAUAUUAAAGUUGUUGCAGUUAAAAAGCUCGUAGUUGAACCUUGGGUCUGGCUGGCAGGUCCGCCUCACCGCGUGUACUUGUCCGGCCGGGCCUUCCUUCUGGAGAACCUCAUGCCCUUCACUGGGCGUGUUGGGGACCAGGACUUUUACUUUGAAAAAAUUAGAGUGUUCAAAGCAGGCCUUUGCUCGAAUACGUUAGCAUGGAAUAAUAGAAUAGGACGUGCGGUCCUAUUUUGUUGGUUUCUAGGACCGCCGUAAUGAUUAAUAGGGACAGUCGGGGGCAUCAGUAUUCAAUUGUCAGAGGUGAAAUUCUUGGAUUUAUUGAAGACUAACUACUGCGAAAGCAUUUGCCAAGGAUGUUUUCAUUAAUCAGUGAACGAAAGUUAGGGGAUCGAAGACGAUCAGAUACCGUCGUAGUCUUAACCGUAAACUAUGCCGACUAGGGAUCGGGCGAUGUUAUUUUUCUGACUCGCUCGGCACCUUACGAGAAAUCAAAGUUUUUGGG
Molecule: ribosomal RNA, 1027 nt
Filed under: Shiraia bambusicola
Lineage: Eukaryota; Fungi; Ascomycota; Dothideomycetes; Pleosporales; Shiraiaceae
Description: SSU rRNA
Rfam family: Eukaryotic small subunit ribosomal RNA
Source: RNAcentral